GACGAACGCUGGCGGCGUGCCUAAUACAUGCAAGUCGAACGAAGCUGUUUUAACUGGUGCUUGCACCGACUUAAACAACUGAGUGGCGAACGGGUGAGUAACACGUGGGUAACCUGCCCCAAAGCGGGGGAUAACAUUUGGAAACAGAUGCUAAUACCGCAUAACCACAGAAACCACAUGGUUUCUGUGUCAAAGAUGGUUUCGGCUAUCACUUUGGGAUGGACCCGCGGCGUAUUAGCUAGUUGGUAAGGUAAUGGCUUAUCAAGGCAAUGAUACGUAGUCGAACUGAGAGGUUGAUCGGCCACAUUGGGACUGAGACACGGCCCAAACUCCUACGGGAGGCAGCAGUAGGGAAUCUUCCAUAAUGGACGAAAGUCUGAUGGAGCAACGCCGCGUGAGUGAAGAAGGUUUUCGGAUCGUAAAACUCUGUUGUCAGAGAAGAACGUGUGCGAGAGUAACUGUUCGUGCAGUGACGGUAUCUGGCCAGAAAGCCACGGCUAACUACGUGCCAGCAGCCGCGGUAA
Molecule: ribosomal RNA, 524 nt
Filed under: uncultured bacterium
Lineage: Bacteria
Description: partial 16S ribosomal RNA
Rfam family: Bacterial small subunit ribosomal RNA
Source: RNAcentral